GCGGACGUAGCUCAGUUGGUAGAGCGUUGGCUUCCCAAGCCGAAGGUCGCGGGUUCGACCCCCGUCGUCCGCU
This 73-nucleotide transfer RNA is filed under the name Thermoleophilaceae bacterium. RNAcentral's name for it is "tRNA-Gly". It matches the Rfam family "tRNA". Rfam says of the family: Transfer RNA (tRNA) molecules are approximately 80 nucleotides in length. Their secondary structure includes four short double-helical elements and three loops (D, anti-codon, and T loops). The record is from RNAcentral. RNAcentral also lists the same sequence under 2 other names. Lineage: Bacteria; Bacillati; Actinomycetota; Thermoleophilia; Thermoleophilales; Thermoleophilaceae.